Pilibacter termitis is the source of this 116-nucleotide non-coding RNA. Lineage: Bacteria; Bacillati; Bacillota; Bacilli; Lactobacillales; Enterococcaceae. The record is from Rfam.
UGUGGUGGCGAUAGCAACGAGGAGACACCUGUUCCCAUGCCGAACACAGAAGUUAAGCUCGUUUACGCCGAAGGUAGUUGGGGGUUGCCUCCUGUGAGACUAGGGAGUCGCCACGC